Molecule: long non-coding RNA, 217 nt
Filed under: Phascolarctos cinereus (koala)
Lineage: Eukaryota; Metazoa; Chordata; Mammalia; Diprotodontia; Phascolarctidae
Description: lncRNA (ENSPCIG00000031309.1)
Source: RNAcentral
GCUAUAUCCCCAACAUGCCUCUGGAGGACAAUACCCUCCGAGAAGUCUGGGCCUCUGAAAGUGAGCUGGAGGAGGAACCCGCGAGCCCUGAACUACAGACGCGCCCCAAACAGCGUCUCGCCGCAGGGCAGAAGCCAAAGAAGAAGCGGCCCGAACCCCAGGAGUGCUCCAGCCCCGCCGAAGCCAAACCCCGGAGAAGAGCAACCGCAGGGCGUGG